CCUACGGGAGGCAGCAGUGGGGAAUAUUGGACAAUGGGCGCAAGCCUGAUCCAGCCAUGCCGCGUGAGUGAUGAAGGCCUUAGGGUUGUAAAGCUCUUUCGGCGGGGACGAUAAUGACGGUACCCGCAGAAGAAGCCCCGGCUAACUUCGUGCCAGCAGCCGCGGU
RNAcentral lists this ribosomal RNA (166 nucleotides) under uncultured bacterium. RNAcentral describes it as "partial 16S ribosomal RNA". It matches the Rfam family "Bacterial small subunit ribosomal RNA", at positions 338 to 521 of the family's 1533-position model. The record is from RNAcentral.